UUUUGUUUUGCAGGUAUCCUAAAAAUAUAGUCGUUGUUUCUUCAGUUCUUCUUCUUCUCUGUCCUAUUGAUGUUGAUUUAUCUUGCUCCUGCUGGUGUAGGAGCUAAGAUUAUUACAUUGAGAUGAAACAAGAUGAGAUGAUUAUUUCUUUGAAGCUUCAUAAUAUAAAUAGUAAACCCACACCAGGGUAUCAGCUUGCAAGAUACUAUCACCUUCGCAGUAUGGACAUGGAUUUUUUUUUGAUUUUUUUUUGUUAUGUCUCCUUUUUGAUGUCUUCUAACUUUGAGUUUUCAUUUAAACGCCAUAUUAGAGCAAAUAAAUGAUGGAAUGGUUUUUAUUUUCUCGGAUUUCCAGAGGUUUGUAAUAUGUUUAAUGAAAGUUUAAUUUUUUUGGCAUGUUUAUCUGGAUGAAACAACCUAAUACAAAGAGGUGCAAAACAAAGAAGUGCCGAAUUUGGUGCAUCCACUUGAGGGAAUAGUUUUUGGUUAGGUAAUUUUAUUUUGUUUAGUUUAUUUCUGAUUAGAAACUGAAACUGUUAUAAGAAGGACUUGCUGUAAGUAUAUGCCUAUUUUAUUUAUAGUGAAUUCCUUCGA
This is a long non-coding RNA of Papaver somniferum (opium poppy), 593 nucleotides long. RefSeq lists it as uncharacterized. The transcript has 3 exons. The record is from RefSeq and is a predicted model, not a curated record. Lineage: Eukaryota; Viridiplantae; Streptophyta; Magnoliopsida; Ranunculales; Papaveraceae.